CCUACGGGGGGCAGCAGUGGGGAAUAUUGGACAAUGGGGGGAACCCUGAUCCAGCCAUGCCGCGUGUGUGAAGAAGGCCCUCGGGUUGUAAAGCACUUUCAGUGAGGAAGAACGCCUGGUGGUUAAUACCCAUCAGGAAAGACAUCACUCACAGAAGAAGCACCGGCUAACUCCGUGCCAGCAGCCGCGGUAAUACGGAGGGUGCGAGCGUUAAUCGGAAUUACUGGGCGUAAAGCGCGCGUAGGUGGUUUGAUAAGCCGGUUGUGAAAGCCCCGGGCUCAACCUGGGAACGGCAUCCGGAACUGUCAAGCUAGAGUGCAGGAGAGGAAGGUAGAAUUCCCGGUGUAGCGGUGAAAUGCGUAGAGAUCGGGAGGAAUACCAGUGGCGAAGGCGGCCUUCUGGACUGACACUGACACUGAGGUGCGAAAGCGUGGGUAGCAAACAGGAUUAGAUACCCGAGUAGUC
Molecule: ribosomal RNA, 465 nt
Filed under: Vreelandella stevensii
Lineage: Bacteria; Pseudomonadati; Pseudomonadota; Gammaproteobacteria; Oceanospirillales; Halomonadaceae
Description: partial 16S ribosomal RNA
Rfam family: Bacterial small subunit ribosomal RNA
Source: RNAcentral